GAUGAACGCUAGCUACAGGCUUAACACAUGCAAGUCGAGGGGCAGCAUAAUCGAAGCUUGCUUUGAUUGAUGGCGACCGGCGCACGGGUGAGUAACGCGUAUCCAACCUUCCCCUUAGUAGAGAAUAGCCCGGCGAAAGUCGGAUUAAUUCCCUAUGUUCUUGACAGCAGACAUCUAACGUCAAGCAAAGAUUCAUCGCUAUGGGAUGGGGAUGCGUCUGAUUAGGUUGCAGGCGGGGUAACGGCCCACCUGGCCAACGAUCAGUAGGGGGUUCUGAGAGGAAGGUCCCCCCACAUUGGAACUGAGACACGGUCCAAAACUCC
This 323-nucleotide ribosomal RNA is filed under the name uncultured Prevotella sp. RNAcentral describes it as "bacterial SSU rRNA". It matches the Rfam family "Bacterial small subunit ribosomal RNA", at positions 28 to 340 of the family's 1533-position model. Lineage: Bacteria; Pseudomonadati; Bacteroidota; Bacteroidia; Bacteroidales; Prevotellaceae. The record is from RNAcentral.